This 374-nucleotide long non-coding RNA is filed under the name Fukomys damarensis (Damara mole-rat). Its description in RNAcentral is "lncRNA (ENSFDAG00000022284.1)". The record is from RNAcentral. Lineage: Eukaryota; Metazoa; Chordata; Mammalia; Rodentia; Bathyergidae.
GCAAAGGCUUGAAACUGCUCCAAUUUAUAACAUUAGAGAAAUUUCAAUUUUUGAUGUAAUAAUGAAACAGUCCAGUAGAAGAGACAUUUGGAGAAAAAAGUUCAGAAACAAAAGCAAAUAUGAGAUUAGAAUACGAGGAAUAAUGAGACCUGGAGCUUGUUUUCUACUUUCGUUGCCGUAAACCAAGGGGAAUGAAUGUACGUGGGACUGUGGUGACCACGGUAACUGAAAACAUCACAACCAGCGCUGUGUGAGGCCUCCCUUUCCUCACAUCCCCCGUGACACUCUUUCCUGACAUUAACCAUCUCUACUACGGUGAGAUUUUGAUUUUUAUACUCUUGAAAAUUAGUGAUUCGGAGAAUAUUUCCAAAUGC